AGCAGUAGCCGCGGGAAUACGAAGGGGGCUAGCGUUGUUCGGAAUUACUGGGCGUAAAGCGCACGUAGGCGGAUAUUUAAGUCAGGGGUGAAAUCCCGCAGCUCAACUGCGGAACUGCCUUUGAUACUGGGUAUCUUGAGUAUGGAAGAGGUUAGUGGAAUUGCGAGUGUAGAGGUGAAAUUCGUAGAUAUUCGCAGGAACACCAGUGGCGAAGGCGGCUAACUGGUCCAUAACUGACGCUGAGGUGCGAAAGCGUGGGGAGCAAACAGGAUUAGAUACCCCCGUAGUCCCUGUCUCUUAUAC
RNAcentral lists this ribosomal RNA (303 nucleotides) under uncultured bacterium. RNAcentral's name for it is "partial 16S ribosomal RNA". It matches the Rfam family "Bacterial small subunit ribosomal RNA", at positions 507 to 807 of the family's 1533-position model. The record is from RNAcentral.